CAGUGUAGGUGACUAAAAUACAAUUUUCAGAUAAAAAAUACUAAUCUUCCGUGAAGUAUUUCUACUCAGCCUGGGCACUCAGUUGCACUGGUUGUUCGGUCAGCAAAAAGUCCCACAUGGACAGGCCAAAGAACUUCGGAGGGAGUGACUGCUGACCCCCAGGUCCCUGCCGAGUUUCCAGCCCAAGCCUCUCAGAACUGGAGUACCACACCUCGGCGCCAGGCAUCAGGAAUGACCCCACCCGACAACACCCCAACCCAAAAAGCAGAGGGUGGUGAGCAUCAUCCGGGAGGCCGUGGCCAUUGAGCAGGAGUUCCUGACGGAGGCGCUGCCCUGUGCCCUCAUUGGCAUGAACUGUGACCUCAUGAAGCAAUACAUAGAGUUUGUGGCAGACCAUCUGCUUGUUGAGCUGAAGUGUGAGAAGAUCUACAGGGUGGAAAAUCCGUUUGACUUCAUGGAGAUGAUCUCCAUGCCUGGCAAGACAAACUUCUUCGAGCGCAGGGUGGGGGAGUACCAGAAGUGUGGCGUCAUGAGCUCCCCUCAGGACAGAACUUUCACCCUCGACGCUGACUUCUAAUCUGGACAGAAUCUUCACCCUCGAUGCUGACUUCUGAUCUGGACAGAACCUUCACCCUCGAUGCUGACUUCUGAGCUGGACAGAACCUUCUCCCUCAACGCUGACUUCUGAUCUGGACAGAACCUUCUCCCUCAACGCUGACUUCUGAUCUGGACAGAACCUUCUCCCUCAACGCUGACUUCUGAUCUGGACAGAACCUUCUACCUCAAUGCUGACUUCUGAUCAGGACAGAACCUUCACCCCUUGAUGCAGACUUUUGGUCAGGACAGAACCUUCACCCUCGACGCAGACUUCUAAUCUGAACAGAAUCUUCACCCUCGAUGCUGACUUCUGAGCUGGACAGAACCUUCACCCUCGACACUGACUUCUGAUCUGGACAGAACCGUCACCCUCGACGCUGACUUCUGAUCUGGACUGAACCUUCACCCUCGAUGCUGACUUCUGACUUGGACAGAACCUUCAACCCAGACCCUGACUUCUGAUCUGGACAGAACCUUCACCCUCAAUGCUGACUUCUGAUCUUUCUGAUCCGGACAGAACCUUCACCCUAGACGCAGACUUCUGAUCUGGACAGAACCUUCACCCUUGAUGCUGACUUCUGAUCUGGACAGAACCUUCACCCUUGAUGCUGACUUCUGAUCAGGACAGAACGUUCACCCUUGAUGCAGACUUCUGACUUACGCAGCUCCUUUGACCUCUUCUUUAGUUGCACCGCAGUGCCUUAGUUCAUCACGUUUCGUGAGCUAUUUGUGUUCAGCUUCCGUAAUUGUGUUCUAGUAUUAGUAUUGAGUGGUUGGUGGCUUUAUGCAACUAUCUUGAAGCGCUUGUAAACCUAUUUACUAUUGCUACCACUUGCGCAAGUACUGAAUAUUGGCCACUUAAUCAAGUGGAUAGAGCUACCAGUAGCGAUUGGCCAUUCUAUGAUUAAUCAUUAACAUGAAAGAUGAAAAUAAAUGGGCCAUUUAAUGAAGUGAUCUCAUUCCGGACUUGGAAUCUCGUACAAAAAGCUGAUUUCAGUGACACUGCUUGUGGAAUCUCGCUCAGUUCUCUGUUAAUUUUCUUGACUAUUCUGUGAUGUAGACAAUCACAGUGUUGGUGACGCUGCCUUCAUGUCAGCGUGGACACCUGGCCUCUGCUGUACUUGUCUUCCACUUCCUCAAUUAUUCAUUGCUAUUAAAUGAGUUUAUGAUUGUUGCAAGGAAUGCUUUCAUUCGCGUGCUAGGCCUGAUUUGAAGCAGAUACAUUGCAAAGCGCGCAAG
This is a long non-coding RNA of Hyalella azteca, 1836 nucleotides long. RefSeq lists it as uncharacterized. Lineage: Eukaryota; Metazoa; Arthropoda; Malacostraca; Amphipoda; Hyalellidae. The transcript is spliced from 4 exons. The record is from RefSeq and is a predicted model, not a curated record.